Long non-coding RNA from Contarinia nasturtii (swede midge), 461 nucleotides. RefSeq lists it as uncharacterized. The record is from RefSeq and is a predicted model, not a curated record. NCBI's taxonomy places the organism in Eukaryota, Metazoa, Arthropoda, Insecta, Diptera, Cecidomyiidae. The transcript has 3 exons.
CACUUACAAUUUGGUUCGUCGUUCAUUUCUUUCACAAUUCGACUACAGCAGCGAUACAACAUGAAAUUUCGGUGCGUGGGCAUUUUCAUUGGAUUUUCACAUUCCAAUUUUAAAAUCAGGCAUUUUCCUUGAAUUUUCUGUGCUCAUUAACAGCUACACAUUCAAGCUGGAAUAAUGCGAAACGAUGCAAUGGUAGAAUGAGCGAUAUGAAUCGAUAAAUCGUGGUUUGAAGUCACCCGCGAAAUGGAACCCAAUGGAACCAACUCAGGCAAUGUGGCAUCACAAGCGCAAGCACAUGCUGACAUGGAUACUAGAAACACACGCAGGGGCAAAUAAUGUGCGGGUAGUGCGAGCAUGCCAGUUAAAAUAGGUUGAUGGUUUGGAAAAAACGCUCUGUUUCAAAUAUGGGUCACCACAUGUUCGAAUAAUAAUCGCAAUAAAAAUUUCAACAACAUCACAAA